ACAAUUACAUGUUCUGAACGAGGAAUUUAGUUUUAUUUUUGUGUGGCUCAACAGUUUUGAGUAAACUCUUCUAUUUAAAUUAUUAUUUUUAAGUUUACUGAGUGACGUAAAGUGACGUCACCUCGUUGCUCUAACCGACGUUCAGAAGAAUCCAUUCAACAUGGCGGAGCCUCGCAAGCGACCGGAGCAAACUUAAUGAAACAACUUGCUGAGCUGGAUGAUGAAUACAAAAGAGUGAGCCUCAACACUUAAGGUUUGUGCUGAGUUUCACCAUAUCAGAGAAAGUGGCACACACCAGCAAGAUUUCACAGAUGUUGCAUGACAUUCUAAAUGUUUGAUCUUCAGUGUACGUGUGUGAGGAGAACUGUUCUUCAGGACAUGAAAUGUAAGUAUUAAGUGCAUUAAUAGAUCUGAAAUAGAGUGGGGGAACUAUGACGUCAGAACCAGGAAGUGUAAUUCGCCGCGGGUUCCUUUGAGAUUUU
Long non-coding RNA from Sinocyclocheilus anshuiensis, 482 nucleotides. RefSeq lists it as uncharacterized. The record is from RefSeq and is a predicted model, not a curated record. NCBI's taxonomy places the organism in Eukaryota, Metazoa, Chordata, Actinopteri, Cypriniformes, Cyprinidae. The transcript is spliced from 4 exons.